GACCCAAGAUAUCUGACAAUGUCCCUCUUGGCGAUGACCUGAGAUCCAAUCAUCACGUCCCUGCCUACUUCGCUCGGCUCGGCCUAAACUUGCACUCCAGGUAUUCUGUCUUAUAUCUGCUUAUUUUGAAACCCUUAGACUCGAGAGUCUGUCUCCAUACCUCUAACUUCUCAAUAAACCGGCCCUCGUCUCGUCUAUCAAGACUAUAUCUUCAGCAAAUAGCAUACACUAAGUC
This 235-nucleotide long non-coding RNA is filed under the name Nicotiana benthamiana. Its description in RNAcentral is "long non-coding RNA (NBEN_LNC015628)". The record is from RNAcentral. Lineage: Eukaryota; Viridiplantae; Streptophyta; Magnoliopsida; Solanales; Solanaceae.